This 271-nucleotide ribosomal RNA is filed under the name uncultured bacterium. RNAcentral describes it as "partial 16S ribosomal RNA". It matches the Rfam family "Bacterial small subunit ribosomal RNA", at positions 28 to 299 of the family's 1533-position model. The record is from RNAcentral.
GGUGAACGCUGGCGGCGUGCUUAACACAUGCAAGUCGAGCGAAGCAUUUUUAUAGCAAUAUAAAAGAUGGCGACCGGCGCACGGGUGAGUAACACGUAUCCAACCUGCCGAUAACUCGGGGAUAACCCUUCGAAAGAAGGCCUAAUACCCGAUGGCAUAUCCCUUCGCCUGGUUGGAUAUUAAGACUUCGGUAUCGAUGGGGAUGCGUUCCAUUAGCUUGUUGGCGGGGUAACGGCCCACCAAGGCUUCGAUGGAUAGGGGGUUCUGGAGA